AUCACCACAGUCGGCACUCCAUUGGCACUCGGGCUCCAACUGGCAGUGGAAGCCAUCGCCUCUGUAGCCUCGCUCGCAUACACACUCAGAUUUGUCCAACUGCUCCUGAUACUGGCAACUAGCGUGCGGAUCGCAGAUGUCAGGCCGCUAAGAAAUUAGCACAGGAAUCGUCGAUGGGGUCGCAGUUGUAGCCGUCGCCACUCAGACCAGGAUUGCAGGUGCAAAUAUGACGCAGCUCUUGUUCGUACCAAGCGCAGGUGGCAUUGAUGUGACAAUUGGCGUCAACGUCGCAGGGAACUGUAGAAACGAAUUUUACAAAAAAUGAUUUCUUGGUUUAGCCCAAACGCUGGAGACUCACCCAAAUCCUCGGACGGCUCGACUGGAUAGUGCAGUAUGUAACGGCAUGUCCUGGAAUCUUCGCUCGUGCUCAUCUAGAAGCAGGGGCACGCAGCGGCCGUGUUCCCAUACCUCGUCAUGGCCACAGAUAUUGACGCAACUGUAGCCGUUGCCCGAGAAUCCACUGCGGCAUAUACAACGACCUUCAUAGCAAUCGGCAUCAGGGGCACAACGCUGGAAAGACAAAAAUAGGCGCCGUUAUUGAAAUCUUUAAAUACAGUUACCUAUAGGUAAUCUCAAUAACAACAACAGUUUGAGUUUAAAAAUAACAGAAA
Molecule: long non-coding RNA, 671 nt
Organism: Scaptodrosophila lebanonensis
Lineage: Eukaryota; Metazoa; Arthropoda; Insecta; Diptera; Drosophilidae
Exons: 3
Source: RefSeq, a predicted model, not a curated record